RNAcentral lists this ribosomal RNA (468 nucleotides) under uncultured bacterium. Its description in RNAcentral is "partial 16S ribosomal RNA". It matches the Rfam family "Bacterial small subunit ribosomal RNA", at positions 28 to 507 of the family's 1533-position model. The record is from RNAcentral.
GACGAACGCUGGCGGCGUGCUUAACACAUGCAAGUCGAACGGAAAGGCCCUGCUUUUGUGGGGUGCUCGAGUGGCGAACGGGUGAGUAACACGUGAGUAACCUUCCCUUGACUUUGGGAUAACUUCAGGAAACUGGGGCUAAUACCGGAUAGGAGCUCCUGCUGCAUGGUGGGGGUUGGAAAGUUUCGGCGGUUGGUGAUGGACUCGCGGCUUAUCAGCUUGUUGGUGGGGUAGUGGCUUACCAAGGCUUUGACGGGUAGCCGGCCUGAGAGGGUGACCGGCCACAUUGGGACUGAGAUACGGCGCAGACUCCAACGGGAGGCAGCAGUAGGGAGUAUUGCACAAUGGGCGGAAGCCUGAUGCAGCGACGACGCGUGCGGGAUGACGGCCUUCGGGUUGUAAACCGCUUUCGCCUGUGACGAAGCGUGAGUGACGGUAAUGGGUAAAGAAGCACCGGCUAACUACGUG